GUGCUCGCUUCGGCAGCACAUAUACUAAAAUUGGAACGAUACAGAGAAGAUUAGCAUGGCCCCUGCGCAAUAUUACUAAGCCAUAAAGAAGAUGAAGUUCUGAUACAU
Mesocricetus auratus (golden hamster) is the source of this 108-nucleotide small nuclear RNA. The record is from Ensembl. NCBI's taxonomy places the organism in Eukaryota, Metazoa, Chordata, Mammalia, Rodentia, Cricetidae.